AAAACACCUCCGUUGGAAGCCUUAAGGACAAGUUGGAACAUGUCCAGUUGUUAAAUAAUUUCUCAGAUACUCACUCUACCUGAAAGCAUCAAAAACUGCCUGAUUUUACAAUGGUUAUCAACACGGAGGUGUUUUUCCUGUGGCGGCACAAAGGAUUUGCGCCGUCGUCA
This is a long non-coding RNA of Thalassophryne amazonica, 170 nucleotides long. RefSeq lists it as uncharacterized. The transcript is spliced from 3 exons. Lineage: Eukaryota; Metazoa; Chordata; Actinopteri; Batrachoidiformes; Batrachoididae. The record is from RefSeq and is a predicted model, not a curated record.